CGUGUUACACACUGGAAAACUAGCGGCCGGGCACGAGCGCACACGCCGCGCGAACCCGCGUACAACACGAACAAGGAAACAGAUGACGGACGAGGGAAGAGGCGAAUGGCGAGAAUGACGAAGAAAUCGGCUGGCUCGUCCACAGAAAUUGAUUACAAUGUUACAGUCAUUUUGGUGCACUCCUCUCGCAACUACCACUGUUAUAAAGCUUCCACGAUCAAUCAUAGUGCGCUCUGAAAGGCAACAAGACAUUAAUAACACGCUUGGAUCGUUUCCACGAGAUCUCCUCGUAUAUAUUAUUCGCAUUCUUAACAACCGAAGGAAGGAACAAACUGUAACAUUUACAAUUACAAGUACCUAAAUCUUCCGAACUAAGGCAAAUUCCCAAAGCACAAGGAUUCCGAGCUACGUGCACCUCGAGCAGAGUCGUGACUGAACCGAAAUUCCAGAAGAACGUUGCCAGCGCGAGGAACGAGGCAAGUAGAAUUAAUCUAAAUUAAGUAAUCGUCGGUGUCUCGGGCCAGCAAAGGACUCGAUGCUUAAAUAAAAAUAAG
Molecule: long non-coding RNA, 554 nt
Organism: Bombus pyrosoma
Lineage: Eukaryota; Metazoa; Arthropoda; Insecta; Hymenoptera; Apidae
Exons: 3
Source: RefSeq, a predicted model, not a curated record